Molecule: ribosomal RNA, 491 nt
Filed under: uncultured bacterium
Lineage: Bacteria
Description: partial 16S ribosomal RNA
Rfam family: Bacterial small subunit ribosomal RNA
Source: RNAcentral
GAUGAACGCUGGCUACAGGCUUAACACAUGCAAGUCGAGGGGAAACGCCGGGGAAGCUUGCUUCCCCGGGCGUCGACCGGCGCACGGGUGAGUAACGCGUAUCCAACCUGCCUCUGACUGAGGGAUAACCCGUCGAAAGUCGGCCUAAUACCUCAUGGUAUCGUCUGCGGGCAUCCAACGACGAUUAAAGAUUUCAUCGGUCAGGGAUGGGGAUGCGUCUGAUUAGCUUGUUGGCGGGGUAACGGCCCACCAAGGCUACGAUCAGUAGGGGUUCUGAGAGGAAGGUCCCCCACAUUGGAACUGAGACACGGUCCAAACUCCUACGGGAGGCAGCAGUGAGGAAUAUUGGUCAAUGGGCGAGAGCCUGAACCAGCCAAGUAGCGUGCAGGAAGACGGCCCUAUGGGUGGUAAACUGCUUUUAUGCGGGGAUAAAGUGAGGGACGUGUCCCUCAUUGCAGGUACCGAAUGAAUAAGGACCGGCUAAUUCCGUG